ACGAACUUCUGUGAUCGCGGUAGUUUCUUCCCGCGAAAACUUCUUGAAUCAUUUUCACACAAUGUUUCUCCACUCUUCCAAUCCCAAAGUCUCGAAUCGUCUGUGAAAAAAGAAGAACAGAUCGUCACUGCGCUCUGUUUAUUUAAGUUCGAAGCUAUGGCUCGAGGGGGGUGUUUGAUGAGAUUGUGAAAUGGAUUUGGGGGGCGGAGGCUUGGAAGUAGUUAUUGCGAGAUUUCGAUGGCGUUGAUGUGUGCGGUCGUGUCACAGUUCCCGAUUACGAUGAUCAUCUGCAAAAGAUUGGUGCAAUGCUUGCAGGCUAUGUGAAUAAGAUGAUGAAAAGAAGCUUAACGACGUAAAGGCUAGGGAUCAGGACAUGAAAAAGCUGGGAAUUUCUGUCUUUUAUUCUCUGGUACCACCUCCACCUUACCAUUUGCUAAACAGAUGUUUCUAACUACUCAGACGUCCUUUGACACAAGUUAUGGCGCUUAAGGAUUGCAAAGUGAAUGCUGCUAUCCUUCUGAGCCAGAAACACGUAAAAGACGAAUGUCACAGAGUUUCUUCAAAUUCAUCUGUUAGAAAAUAGCUUCAGCUUACCCGAGAGCUGGGAUUGUCUGCAAAAGUAAAUUGGUUCUUCAGGAGCAACAGCUUCAAAUUUGCAAAACCCAUCAUCAAAAUUUAGAGCAUAGCUGCAAGGAUCAUAUUGAAAAUUGAACCUUCUUUUUCCUCCGUUCUUGAUGGCUUUCUUCAUCGCUGCUCUCAUCCUCCAGAACAGUUUCCUGAAUUGCUUCCUACUGUUGCGAUAUUUUCUGGGUAUUUGAGGAAGAUUAUAAAGGAUUCACAGACACAGAGACAAACAUCAAGAGUUGCAAUGAGGUUUAUGCAGAAGUGUCAGAACUAAAACAACAAAAGAAGAUUCACCUUUUUGUAUACAGGAGUAACGAGUAAUAAGAGAAAGGGCAAAGUGUAAUCUUUUGGACUUCCAAUGAAGCUUCGCAGUUUCUGCUGACCCCCUACGAUGAUCGGCCUUUUCUCCUUGGAGUCAUGUUGGAAUGCUCAAAUUCCAUCAACUACAGCGAUAAAGACAGAGAAGGAGAAGGGGAGAGAAGAAGGGAGGGAGAACUAAUAGCUGUUGCAGUGGGCAGAGAGCCUACAAAGACAUAUCAGUAUCGAAUAUUGUUGCGGCAAAAGUAACGAAGGAAGCUGACUAUGUUCAACGGUAUGUCCUCGGUCUUUACCUCUUUCACGGGCAUAAACAUAUUUAAUGUUCCACUAAGCGUUUUAAUAGUUCUUUUCGGUUCCUAAAGAUUCAUACUUUUGAAAAGCAAGGAAUAAACUUCCUUCUGAGCAUUCUUGCUGGAAAGGAUUAUAACGAUUCAAACCU
Cucurbita maxima (winter squash) is the source of this 1381-nucleotide long non-coding RNA. RefSeq lists it as uncharacterized. The transcript has 7 exons. NCBI's taxonomy places the organism in Eukaryota, Viridiplantae, Streptophyta, Magnoliopsida, Cucurbitales, Cucurbitaceae. The record is from RefSeq and is a predicted model, not a curated record.